NNNNNNNNNNGGUAGGCUCCCGGGAGAGCCUGGCGGGGCGGGAAUCUGGGCGACGAGGGGACCCCGCAGCGCCUCCGUUGUCCUCAGGAGCUUGCUUUUUGGUGACUCCACGAUGCGGACCCAGUAAAGGAAAAGGGAGGACGUCUUGCUUCUGGAGCCAAGGUUCUCUACCGUCGUCGGCUCACGGCCUGAGAAACCCUUGGACGCGUGUCCACGUCCGCAGAGAAAGCCCGUUUGGAAGAAAACUAAGACGGGUACAACUUCAUUUUAUUUGCCUUUCGGCUUUUCGAGAGAUCCUGCUUUGGUUGCCUUUUUUUUUUUUUUCUUCUUUUUUAAACGUGUUCCAGAAUGAUGGUGAAAUUUGAAAGUGCAAAUGACCGGGAGACCUAAAAAAUGUUGGCGUAUCUGCGCACGUACAAGAAAGGCUUUUCGAGCCAAUGGAGAGAAACCAUCCUUACCUGCUCAAGUUUCUAAUGGAGAUGUAAUUGACAUAGAGCAUCCUGUUCGUUUUAGAUGUACAGCAUAAUGAUGCGUGAGGUUUGGGGUUUUUUUCUUUCUUUUGUUUUUUUAAGUAUUUAAAUUCCAGUUAGUAAAAAUAAAUAAAUAAAUAGAUCCCAGUUACUUGAUAUACAGUGUAAUGUUAGUUUCGGGUGUACAAUACAGUGAUUCAACAGUUCUAUGUAACACCCAGUCACGGGCGCACUCCUUCAUCCCCGUCACCCAUGCGCCCAUCCCCCCACCCACGUCUCCUCUGAUAACCAUGGAGGUCCUAGAUUCCAUCGGGGUCCAAAUUGAGAAGCUCCACCCAGCCUGGAAAAUCCCAUCACCACUCUAAACAAGAUUCCUACUAUCUACAGUGGAAAGAUCUGAUCAUCUACAGCACAGGACAUUAAUACCGACUGCCAUGAUGAGAACAUUAAGCCAAUCCCGGACAUGAUUAGUACAGAAGUUAAAGCCUAUGAUUCUGCUCUCAGCUCUGUCACUAACCCACUUCAUGACCCUCCUAGGAAACCACUUACCCUUUUUGUGACUCAGUGUCCCUCAUCUGUAAAACAGGGUUAACACUUCCCAUGAACACUUCACAGGAUGUUGAGUCUCCUCCCAUUGGCCAAACAUGAUUGUUUAAACCAAAAUAUUUUCUGGUUACUUAUGAAAUAGUUUAGAUAAGCAAAAAUGUGCAAAGAAUAUGGACCAAUUGGAGUGCCUGGAUGGCUCAGUGGGUUAAGCCUCUGCCUUCCGCUCAGGUCAUGAUCCCAGGGUCCUGGGAUCGAGUCCUGCAUCGGGCUCUCUGUUCAGCAGAGAGCCUGCUUCCUCCUCUCUCUCUGCCUGUCUCUCUGCCUACUUGUGAUCUCUGUCUGUCAAAUAAAUAAAUAAAUGAAUGAAUAAAAUCUUAAAAAAAAAAAAGAAUAUGGACCAACUCCCAGGUAUCUACCAGUCCAACAAACAAAGGAUGACAUGCAGAGUGGAAACUCUGGCCUGAAGGAUUUUGUUUGGUCGUAUUUGCACUCCUCCCCAUGUUCCAGUAUUGAGAACAUAUCUGUAUUUUUAUCAUGAUCAUUACCCCUAUCAAUAUCUGGGUCAUAUAAACUAAGACAAAGAGGCUGGGAAAAACAAGAAUCAGUUCCUGCCUAUUUCUCACCAUUUAUAUUCAAUAAUGCUUAGGAAUUUCCAAGUGCUUCUCUGUAACCACACUGUGUUUCAUUUUUAGGACACCUUCUGUGCAAGGAAAAGGAAUGCACACCUAUGGGGCACCUGGGUGGCUCAGUCAGUUGAGCAUCUGACUGUUGGUUUUGGCUCAGGUCAUGAUCUCAAGAGUGUGGGGUGGAGCCCCGAUUGGGCUCCGGACUCAGCACAGAGUCUGUUUGAGAUGCUUCCUCUCCCUCCCAUUCUGCUCUUCCCCUGGCUCCUGUGUGCACACUUCUCUGUCUCUCUCUUUCUCUAAAUAAAUCUCUAAAUUUAUUUAGACUGUAUCUAAAUAAAUACAAUCUUAAAAAGAAAAGAAAGCAUACCUCUAACUGCCUUCAACAAUAAGUGACUCUUACUGAUUUACGGAACUCGAGUCCAGAAGUAGACUCAGGUUGUGUUUGCUCUGGAAGCUGAACAGUGGAUCGAAGUUUCUCCUUGGUUCCGUCUUCCUGCUUUUCGCCAUAUCCGUUGUUUCUCCUGGCUGGCUUCCUUCAGGGUGUUCAAAUGGCCCCCAGGCCGGGACAAACUCAAGCCCUGCAAGGAAAAGCCAUCAUCUUUUCCCAUCAUUCCCAGCUGGAAUCCUAAAAUCCACUCAGAUUAGAUCACCUUGGACCACAUGUGACAACAACAAGAAGCACCAUGGGACUUAGUCUUGGUCACAUGUCACAGAUUUCAUGUCUGGAGCUUGGGUAGAGUUAACUUCAGCAGAACCGAGUACAUACCUUCCUACCAGAAGAAAGUCCCAUCAUCCGCCUCAGUGGUUUCUAGACAGCUUUGCCUGAAAAAUAAGUUGCUAAACAAAUAGUGUUAGUAAGAUGCUAUUUUAAAUGGUACCAGUACAGGGAUGGACCUGGGUUUUGUAGCACCUAAGGCAUGAAUUGGGAGUAGCAGUUUCCUUUAAGAAAAUGAAUACAAGGGGUGCCUGGGUAGCUCUGUUGGUUAAGGAUAUGCCUUUGGCUCGGGUCAUGAUUCCAGGGUCCUGGGAUCAAGCCCC
Molecule: long non-coding RNA, 2680 nt
Organism: Mustela putorius furo (domestic ferret)
Lineage: Eukaryota; Metazoa; Chordata; Mammalia; Carnivora; Mustelidae
Source: Ensembl